GCCUGGCUAGCUCAGUCUGUAGAGCAUGAGACUCUAAAUGUCAGGGUCGUGGGUUUGAGCCCCACUUUGGGCG
Danio rerio (zebrafish) is the source of this 73-nucleotide non-coding RNA. The record is from Rfam. Lineage: Eukaryota; Metazoa; Chordata; Actinopteri; Cypriniformes; Danionidae.